This 376-nucleotide ribosomal RNA is filed under the name uncultured delta proteobacterium. Its description in RNAcentral is "bacterial SSU rRNA". It matches the Rfam family "Bacterial small subunit ribosomal RNA", at positions 521 to 896 of the family's 1533-position model. The record is from RNAcentral. Lineage: Bacteria; Deltaproteobacteria.
UAAAACGGAGGGUGCAAACGUUGCUCGGAAUUACUGGGCGUAAAGCGCAUGCAGGCGGCAUGUUAAGUCUUAUGUGAAAGCCCUGGGCUCAACCCAGGAAGUGCAUGAGAAACUGGCACGCUAGAGUACUGGAAAAGUGGGCGGAAUUCCCGGUGUAGAGGUGAAAUUCGUAGAUAUCGGGAGGAACACCAGCAGCGAAGGCGGCUCACUAGAAAGAUACUGACGCUCAGAUGCGAAAGCGUGGGGAGCAAACAGGAUUAGAUACCCUGGUAGUCCACGCCGUAAACGAUGGGCACUAGGUGUCGGGGGCUUGACCCCUUCGGCGCCGAAGCUAACGCAUUAAGUGCCCCGCCUGGGGACUACGGUCGCAAGACUA